This 397-nucleotide ribosomal RNA is filed under the name uncultured bacterium. RNAcentral's name for it is "bacterial SSU rRNA". It matches the Rfam family "Bacterial small subunit ribosomal RNA", at positions 30 to 431 of the family's 1533-position model. The record is from RNAcentral.
AUUGAACGCUGGCGGAAUGCUUUACACAUGCAAGUCGAACGGCAGCACGGGGCAACCUGGUGGCGAGUGGCGAACGGGUGAGUAAUACAUCGGAACGUGCCCAAUCGUGGGGGAUAACGUAGCGAAAGUUACGCUAAUACCGCAUACGAUCUACGGAUGAAAGCGGGGGAUCGCAAGACCUCGCGCGAAUGGAGCGGCCGAUGUCAGAUUAGGUAGUUGGUGGGGUAAAGGCUCACCAAGCCGACGAUCUGUAGCUGGUCUGAGAGGACGACCAGCCACACUGGGACUGAGACACGGCCCAGACUCCUACGGGAGGCAGCAGUGGGGAAUUUUGGACAAUGGGCGCAAGCCUGAUCCAGCCAUUCCGCGUGCAGGAUGAAGGCCUUCGGUUGUAACU